GAUGAACGCGGGCGGCGUGCUUAACACAUGCAAGUCGAACGAACGACUAUUAACAGAACCUUUCGGGGCGAAGAAUAUAGAAGUUAGUGGCGGACGGGUGCGUAACGCGUGGGUAAUCUGCCUUUGUCAAAGGAAUAACUAUUCGAAAGAAUAGCUAAAACCGUAUAAAAUAUUAAUAGGGCAUCCUAAUAAUAUCAAAACGAUAGUGGACAAAGAUGAGCCCGCGUCUGAUUAGCUAGUUGGUGAGAUAAAAGCCCACCAAGGCAACGAUCAGUAGCCGACCUGAGAGGGUGAACGGCCACAUUGGAACUGAGACACGGUCCAAACUCCUACGGGAGGCAGCAGUGGGGAAUAUUGCACAAUGGGGGGAACCCUGAUGCAGCAACGCCGCGUGAGUGAAGAAGGCAUUCGUGUCGUAAAACUCUGUAGUAGGGGAAGAAAGAAAUGACAGUACCCUAAAAGCAAGCCACGGCUAACUACGUGCCAGCAGCCGCGGUAAUACGUAGGUGGCAAGCGUUGUCCGGAAUUAUUGGGCGUAAAGCGCGCGCAGGCGGCUUCCCAAGUCCCUCUUAAAAGUGCGGGGCUUAACCCCGUGAUGGGAAGGAAACUGGGAAGCUGGAGUAUCGGAGAGGAAAGUGGAAUUCCUAGUGUAGCGGUGAAAUGCGUAGAGAUUAGGAAGAACACCGGUGGCGAAGGCGACUUUCUGGACGAAAACUGACGCUGAGGCGCGAAAGCGUGGGGAGCAAACAGG
This 751-nucleotide ribosomal RNA is filed under the name uncultured Filifactor sp. Its description in RNAcentral is "bacterial SSU rRNA". It matches the Rfam family "Bacterial small subunit ribosomal RNA", at positions 28 to 776 of the family's 1533-position model. Lineage: Bacteria; Bacillati; Bacillota; Clostridia; Peptostreptococcales; Filifactoraceae. The record is from RNAcentral.